GAUGAACGCUGGCGGCGUGCCUAAUACAUGCAAGUCGAGCGAACAGACGAGGAGCUUGCUCCUCUGACGUUAGCGGCGGACGGGUGAGUAACACGUGGAUAACCUACCUAUAAGACUGGGAUAACUUCGGGAAACCGGAGCUAAUACCGGAUAAUAUAUUGAACCGCAUGGUUCAAUAGUGAAAGACGGUUUUGCUGUAACUUAUAGAUGGAUCCGCGCCGCAUUAGCUAGUUGGUAAGGUAACGGCUUACCAAGGGAACGAUGCGUAGCCGACCUGUGAGGGUGGUCGGCCACCCUGGAGCUGGGCCACGGUCCUGACUCCUGCGGGAGGCAGCAGUCGGGAAUCUUCCGCAAUGGUCGAGAGCCUGACGGAGCAACGCCGCGUGAGUGAUGAAGGUCUUCGGAUCGUAAAACUCUGUUAUUAGGUAAGAACAAAUGUGUAAGUAACUAUGCACGUCUUGACGGUACCUAAUCAGAAAGCCACGGCUAACUACGUG
RNAcentral lists this ribosomal RNA (497 nucleotides) under uncultured bacterium. Its description in RNAcentral is "partial 16S ribosomal RNA". It matches the Rfam family "Bacterial small subunit ribosomal RNA", at positions 28 to 507 of the family's 1533-position model. The record is from RNAcentral.